This is a long non-coding RNA of Brassica napus (rape), 486 nucleotides long. RefSeq lists it as uncharacterized. NCBI's taxonomy places the organism in Eukaryota, Viridiplantae, Streptophyta, Magnoliopsida, Brassicales, Brassicaceae. The record is from RefSeq and is a predicted model, not a curated record. The transcript has 4 exons.
CUGUCUUCUCAUCUCCAGUCCCUACCAAGCGAUCUAAGGUCAAGAUCCAUGCUGCUAUUAAAUCCGCAUCGGCAGCGGAACCGACGGGGUCUUCGUCUGCGAGCGAGGUUCGUGUUGAGAAAUAAGGACCGGUUUUGGAUCCUGGAUUCGGAAUCUGAAGAGCCGGAGAUUGGAUCCUCUGAUCCGUAAGCUAUGGAUACGGAGAAGACUGUUUUAAACCGAUGUGCCUGUUUUGGAGAUCUCUCUUGAAGCCGACACAAACCCUAAAGUUGAUGUCGUGCCGACACCUACAAUAGCAGGGGAAGUGGUGACGGAUGGUGAGAAGUCGAAGGCGGGGAAGAAUCGAGCUAAGGAUCCAUGGGCGAAGCUACUUUCUGAGUACUCUCAGAACCCACACCGUAUCAUGAGGGGCGCUGUAUUCACUGUUAGAUGCCGAGGAUGUGAUUUAUCUAUCACACCAAUAUAUGCUCAGCACCCUGUGUGAAA